AAACCUGCGGAGGGAUCAUUAAAGAGUUCUAUAACUCCCAAACCCAUGUGAACAUACCAUACGUUGCCUCGGCAUGCCCUAGGUAUGCCGGCGGCCCAAGUAACUCUGUUUAUUUUUGAAUUCUGAGGUUAUAAUAAAUACGUUAAAACUUUCAGCAACGGAUCUCUUGGUUCUGGCAUCGAUGAAGAACGCAGCGAAAUGCGAUAAGUAAUGUGAAUUGCAGAAUUUAGUGAAUCAUCGAAUCUUUGAACGCACAUUGCGCCCAUUAGUAUUCUAGUGGGCAUGCCUGUUCGAGCGUCAUUUCAACCCUUAAGCCUCUGUUGCUUAGUGUUGGGAGCCUACGGUAACGUAGCUCCCCAAAUAUAGUGGCGGAGUCGGUUCACACUCUAGACGUAGUAGAUUUCAUCUCGCCUAUGAGUUGGACCGGUCCCUCGCCGUAAAACCCCUAUUUUCUAAAGUUGACCUCGGAUCAGGUAGGAAUACCCGC
This 487-nucleotide ribosomal RNA is filed under the name fungal sp. RNAcentral's name for it is "eukaryotic LSU rRNA". The stretch from base 147 to 300 matches the Rfam family "5.8S ribosomal RNA". Lineage: Eukaryota; Fungi. The record is from RNAcentral.